This 1087-nucleotide long non-coding RNA is filed under the name Homo sapiens (human). RNAcentral describes it as "HSALNT0272495". The record is from RNAcentral. Lineage: Eukaryota; Metazoa; Chordata; Mammalia; Primates; Hominidae.
CAAGAUCUUUGAAAUCAUAUGUUAGAUGCGUUGGUUUAUAUUUAAAAAUACACAUUAAUUUAAUUCAAAAGUCUAAUGAAGCUUUCAGUACAACCUACAAUCAUCUAAUGCUAACACCAGCAGUACAAAGCCUUCCCUUUGGAAAGCUCAUCUAGAAAACUAUGUAUCUGAAGGUCAUUUACCAACUGUUUUUUGCCCUACAGAGGAGGAAGAAAUGUAAGGCAAAGGAGAAUUCAGUUAGAUUUUGUCUAGGUUAGGAUUACCUGACCUCCAUGAUGGAGACAGACCUGGUAUCCUUUGGGUUAUCAUGUUUAUUAAAUCUACACAUGGACUGAAGAUCUUUAGCUCAUUAUUUCUUUCCUUUUUUGAGACAGGAUCUCACUCUUUUGCCCAGGCUGGAGUGCAGUGGCACAAUCAUAGCUCACUGCAGCCUCAACCUCCCACGCUCAAGUGAUCCUCCUGCCACAGCCUCCCGAGUAGCUGGAACUGCAGUUGUCAGCCAUCAUACCCAGCUAAUUUCCCAAUUUUUUGUAGAGAUGUUGUCUCGCUAUGUUGCCGAGGAUGGUCUCAAACUCCUGGACUCAAGAGAUAUUUGCCUAGGUAUCCCAAAAUGCUGGGAUUACAGACAUGAACCACUGUGCCCAACCUUUAGCUCCUUAUAAUGUGUAUUUAAAUCAAUGAAUUAUUUACAACUAUUAACUAAGAACUAAGUUUCUUUAAAGUGUUUUCAUUACAAUUUUCCUACAGUAGCUUCAGCCUGCUUCCUCAAUUCUGGAGUCACGUCAGCAUCAAAUGUGGACACAGUUUUGUUAAUUUGGGCUGCAAUAUAUAUGUAAGGAUUAGGGAAAGACAUAGGAGGUAAUAUCUACAAGGACAGAGUUGGGAUUCUGUAGUUCAAAGAAGUCUAUUGGAGAUUUGUUCAACUCAGAUGUAGGAAACAAAGGAAGAUAACAACUGAAUUUGGGGGACAAAGACUCAGCCAAGAGAAAACUAUAGUUGUCCUCUCUACAAGACAAUAGGCAGCAUCUUAAAUUAUGAAAAAUUUUACACAGAUAUUUUUCUAAAUUAUUUUUACAAUUUUCUGUAU